RNAcentral lists this unclassified non-coding RNA (313 nucleotides) under Basidiomycota sp. RNAcentral's name for it is "partial contains small subunit ribosomal RNA, internal transcribed spacer 1, and 5.8S ribosomal RNA". The stretch from base 1 to 47 matches the Rfam family "Eukaryotic small subunit ribosomal RNA", at positions 1785 to 1831 of the family's 1831-position model. The record is from RNAcentral. Lineage: Eukaryota; Fungi; Basidiomycota.
AAAGUCGUAACAAGGUUUCUGUAGGUGAACCUGCGGAAGGAUCAUUAUUGAAGUAAACCUGAUAGAUUGUUGCUGGUUCUUUAAUGAACAUGUGCACAUCUGUCAUCUUUAUAUCUCCACCUGUGCACCUUUUGUAGACCUGGACAAGUUUCUUAAUCCUAGUAUUAAGGUUUUGGGAUUGACUUUAUUGACUUUCCUUAUAUUUCUGGGUCUAUGUUUAUUCAAAUACCCUAAUGUAUGUUAUAGAAUGUAAUAAGUGGGCCCUUGUGCCUAUAACAAUAUACAACUUUCAGCAACGGAUCUCUUGGCUCUC